RNAcentral lists this ribosomal RNA (424 nucleotides) under uncultured bacterium. Its description in RNAcentral is "bacterial SSU rRNA". It matches the Rfam family "Bacterial small subunit ribosomal RNA", at positions 355 to 776 of the family's 1533-position model. The record is from RNAcentral. RNAcentral also lists the same sequence under 1 other name.
UGAGGAAUAUUGGUCAAUGGGCGAGAGCCUGAACCAGCCAAGUCGCGUGAAGGAUGACUGCCCUAUGGGUUGUAAACUUCUUUUGUACUGGGGUAAAAAAGAGGACGUGUCCUUUCUUGCAAGUACAGUACGAAUAAGCAUCGGCUAACUCCGUGCCAGCAGCCGCGGUAAUACGGAGGAUGCGAGCGUUAUCCGGAUUUAUUGGGUUUAAAGGGUGCGUAGGCGGGGAUUUAAGUCAGCGGUGAAAGUUUGAGGCUCAACCUUAAAAUUGCCGUUGAAACUGGGUUUCUUGAGUGUAUUUGAAGUAGGCGGAAUUCGUUGUGUAGCGGUGAAAUGCAUAGAUAUAACGAAGAACUCCAAUUGCGCAGGCAGCUUACUAAACUACAACUGACGCUGAAGCACGAAAGCGUGGGUAUCAAACAGG